This 92-nucleotide ribosomal RNA is filed under the name Paenibacillus odorifer. The record is from RNAcentral. Lineage: Bacteria; Bacillati; Bacillota; Bacilli; Caryophanales; Paenibacillaceae.
UUUGGUGGCGAUAGCGGAGGGGUUCCACACGUACCCAUCCCGAACACGACCGUUAAGCCCUCCAGCGCCGAUGGUACUUGGACCGAAGGGUC